This 75-nucleotide transfer RNA is filed under the name Dipodomys ordii (Ord's kangaroo rat). It matches the Rfam family "tRNA". Rfam says of the family: Transfer RNA (tRNA) molecules are approximately 80 nucleotides in length. Lineage: Eukaryota; Metazoa; Chordata; Mammalia; Rodentia; Heteromyidae. The record is from Rfam by way of RNAcentral.
GGAAAUGUGGCUUAGUGGUAGAGUGCUUGCCUAGCAUGCAUGAAAUGAAGCCCUGGGUUCGAUUCCUCAGUACCA